GCAGAUUUUAAAAUUUGCACAAGCAGAUCAAGUCUGGUCACAUUUAAAUUAAUAGCACAGAAUGGGAAUAAUUGUGAAAAAAGCUCCCUCCAGAGGCAAGAAAGCAUAAUCAUCUUUUACAUUUAUAACAGCAGUGUGGUUACAAAAUCACACAAUCCCAUGUACCAUGAAACGUUUAUUUUCUAUAACCAAUGAAAUCUUCUGCAUCACCCCAAUACAACACUUGGUUGGGACUUUGAAUUGCCAAUUGACAAAAAUCUCCACCUCUUUUGGUUUAAAUGCUGUUCUGGGCAAAACAACUUGAGGUCUAUUCUCCAGACUCCGGAUAGCCUCCUCUGGUCCUUGAUUCUGGGUUGUGGAAAGGUGGGCAACCUCCUGGAGAAUGAGAGAGAGAUUCUUACCCUGCUCUUUUAGGGUCUCUGGCCCCUCUGGUUUUCCUUCUCUGUCUUUCUGAUCAUUGGGCAUCCUACUGGCUUCUCAUGCAUACCGCAGAUCUCUCUACAUCUCAUUCAUGGUCUGCAUAAGUUUCUGAUUCAAGCUAAGUUAUUUCUGUGUGACACUGGGUAGGAUCUUAGGAAACCUUGCAGGUCGCCUGGCGCCCUUUGCCUGGUUAUGAUACAUAACCAUGCUGGCAUUUCUACCAUGGCAGAGGCGGAACGAAAACAGAUGUAAAUCACGAAGCCCUUGAAUCCUUCAAGUUCAAGUUCUUUGCUUUACCUCUGAUUUCCCCGCUCGUCCCUGGCUCAAAAUAUUUUUACUGUGUUACGGCUAGGGAUUUAACUCAGUGGCACCACACCUGCCUUGCAAGCUCAAGGUCCUGAGUUUGAUCCCAGGUACCAAAAAAAAAAAAAAACAUUUGGUCGGGGAUUUAGCUCAGUGGUUCUGGCGCCUGCCUCGCAAGUGCAAGGCAGGCAUGGUGCCACUGAGCUAAAUCCCUGGCUCUCUCAAUUAUUAUUUAUAAAAUUUAUAGAUCGGCAGUUUUAGGCUUCUAGUUUUUCAUUUUGAAAAUUUUCCUCUCAACUAUUUUCUCUGUCACAAGUUUAAAAUAACAAUUUUUAGGGUCCGGGGAUUUAGCUCAGUGGUUUCACCACCUGCUGCACAAGCACAAGGACCCAAGUUCAAUCCCCAGUACCAAAAACAUUUAUAAAAAUAACAAUUUUUAAAUUAUUAUCAAACAUCAAAUAAUUAUUAUAAAACAUUCAAAGAUACCACUA
RNAcentral lists this long non-coding RNA (1214 nucleotides) under Heterocephalus glaber (naked mole-rat). RNAcentral's name for it is "lncRNA (ENSHGLG00000032472.1)". Lineage: Eukaryota; Metazoa; Chordata; Mammalia; Rodentia; Bathyergidae. The record is from RNAcentral.